This 72-nucleotide transfer RNA is filed under the name Arthroleptis (Schoutedenella) sp. Its description in RNAcentral is "tRNA-Val". It matches the Rfam family "tRNA". From Rfam's summary of the family: Transfer RNA (tRNA) molecules are approximately 80 nucleotides in length. Lineage: Eukaryota; Metazoa; Chordata; Amphibia; Anura; Arthroleptidae. The record is from RNAcentral.
CAAAAUAUAGCUUAAUUUAAAGCAUUUCGCUUACACCGAACUUAUACCUGUUUAAUUCGGGUUAUUUUGAGC